AGCGUGGAGACAGGUGGUGCAUGGCUGUCGUCAGCUCGUGUCGUGAGAUGUUGGGUUAAGUCCCGCAACGAGCGCAACCCUCACCCCUUGUUGCCAUCAGGUUAUGCUGGGCACUCUAGGGGAACUGCCCCGGUCAACGGGGAGGAAGGCGGGGAUGACGUCAAGUCAUCAUGCCCCUUACGUCCUGGGCUACACACGUGCUACAAUGGCCGGUACAAAGGGAUGCAAGACUGCGAGGUGGAGCUAAACCCAAAAAGCCGGUCUAAGUUCAGAUUGGAGUCUGCAACUCGACUCCAUGAAGGAGGAAUCGCUAGUAAUCGCGCAUCAGCACGGCGCGGUGAAUACGUUCCCGGGCCUUGUACACACCGCCCGUCACACCACGAAAGCCAGCUGUACUCGAAGUCGCUGAG
RNAcentral lists this ribosomal RNA (410 nucleotides) under uncultured Methylomirabilota bacterium. RNAcentral's name for it is "bacterial SSU rRNA". It matches the Rfam family "Bacterial small subunit ribosomal RNA", at positions 1025 to 1434 of the family's 1533-position model. The record is from RNAcentral. Lineage: Bacteria; Methylomirabilota (SeqCode).